This 72-nucleotide transfer RNA is filed under the name Planctomycetota bacterium. RNAcentral's name for it is "Planctomycetes bacterium tRNA-Phe". It matches the Rfam family "tRNA". Rfam says of the family: Transfer RNA (tRNA) molecules are approximately 80 nucleotides in length. Their secondary structure includes four short double-helical elements and three loops (D, anti-codon, and T loops). The record is from RNAcentral. Lineage: Bacteria; Pseudomonadati; Planctomycetota.
GGGCUGGUAGCUGAGACGGCAUAGCGUCGGUCUGAAAAACCGGAGACGAGGAUUCGAGCGCCUCCCGGCCCG